GGGAUAACUCCGGGAAACCGGGGCUAAUACCGGAUAACAUUUUGAACAGCAUGGUUCGAAAUUGAAAGGCGGCUUCCGCUGUCACUUAUGGAUGGACCCGCGUCGCAUUAGCUAGUUGGUGAGGUAACGGCUCAACAAGGCAACGAUGCGUAGCCAACCUGAGAGGGUGAUCGGCCACUCUGGGACUGAGACACGGCCCAGACUCCUACGGGAGGCAGCAUUAGGGAAUCUUCCGCAAUGGACGAAAGUCUGACGGAGCAACGCCGCGUGAGUGAUGAAGGCUUUCGGGUCGUUAACUCUGUUGUUAGGGAAGAACAUGUGCUAGUUGAAUAAGCUGGCACCUUGACGGUACCUAACCAGAAAGCCACGGCUAACUACGUGCCAGCAGCCGCGGUAAUACGUAUGUGGCAAGCGUUAUCCGGAAUUAUUGGGCGUA
This 436-nucleotide ribosomal RNA is filed under the name Bacillus tropicus. RNAcentral's name for it is "bacterial SSU rRNA". It matches the Rfam family "Bacterial small subunit ribosomal RNA", at positions 140 to 562 of the family's 1533-position model. Lineage: Bacteria; Bacillati; Bacillota; Bacilli; Caryophanales; Bacillaceae. The record is from RNAcentral.